Molecule: ribosomal RNA, 253 nt
Filed under: uncultured bacterium
Lineage: Bacteria
Description: partial 16S ribosomal RNA
Rfam family: Bacterial small subunit ribosomal RNA
Source: RNAcentral
UACGGAGGAUCCGAGCGUUAUCCGGAUUUAUUGGGUUUAAAGGGUGCGUAGGCGGCCUGUUAAGUCAGGGGUGAAAGACGGUAGCUCAACUAUCGCAGUGCCCUUGAUACUGAUGGGCUUGAAUGUACUUGAGGUAGGCGGAAUGUGGCAAGUAGCGGUGAAAUGCAUAGAUAUGCCACAGAACACCGAUUGCGAAGGCAGCUUACUAAGGUAUGAUUGACGCUGAGGCACGAAAGCGUGGGGAUCAAACAGG